UUAAGCGACUAAGCGUACACGGUGGAUGCCCUGGCAGUCAGAGGCGAUGAAGGACGUGCUAAUCUGCGAUAAGCGUCGGUAAGGUGAUAUGAACCGUUAUAACCGGCGAUUUCCGAAUGGGGAAACCCAGUGUGAUUCGUCACACUAUCAUUAACUGAAUCCAUAGGUUAAUGAGGCGAACCGGGGGAACUGAAACAUCUAAGUACCCCGAGGAAAAGAAAUCAACCGAGAUUCCCCCAGUAGCGGCGAGCGAACGGGGAGCAGCCCAGAGCCUGAAUCAGUGUGUGUGUUAGUGGAAGCGUCUGGAAAGGCGCGCGAUACAGGGUGACAGCCCCGUACACAAAAAUGCACAUACUGUGAGCUCGAUGAGUAGGGCGGGACACGUGGUAUCCUGUCUGAAUAUGGGGGGACCAUCCUCCAAGGCUAAAUACUCCUGACUGACCGAUAGUGAACCAGUACCGUGAGGGAAAGGCGAAAAGAACCCCGGCGAGGGGAGUGAAAAAGAACCUGAAACCGUGUACGUACAAGCAGUGGGAGCCUCUUUAUGGGGUGACUGCGUACCUUUUGUAUAAUGGGUCAGCGACUUAUAUUCUGUAGCAAGGUUAACCGAAUAGGGGAGCCGAAGGGAAACCGAGUCUUAACUGGGCGUUAAGUUGCAGGGUAUAGACCCGAAACCCGGUGAUCUAGCCAUGGGCAGGUUGAAGGUUGGGUAACACUAACUGGAGGACCGAACCGACUAAUGUUGAAAAAUUAGCGGAUGACUUGUGGCUGGGGGUGAAAGGCCAAUCAAACCGGGAGAUAGCUGGUUCUCCCCGAAAGCUAUUUAGGUAGCGCCUCGUGAAUUCAUCUCCGGGGGUAGAGCACUGUUUCGGCAAGGGGGUCAUCCCGACUUACCAACCCGAUGCAAACUGCGAAUACCGGAGAAUGUUAUCACGGGAGACACACGGCGGGUGCUAACGUCCGUCGUGAAGAGGGAAACAACCCAGACCGCCAGCUAAGGUCCCAAAGUCAUGGUUAAGUGGGAAACGAUGUGGGAAGGCCCAGACAGCCAGGAUGUUGGCUUAGAAGCAGCCAUCAUUUAAAGAAAGCGUAAUAGCUCACUGGUCGAGUCGGCCUGCGCGGAAGAUGUAACGGGGCUAAACCAUGCACCGAAGCUGCGGCAGCGACACUAUGUGUUGUUGGGUAGGGGAGCGUUCUGUAAGCCUGUGAAGGUGUGCUGUGAGGUAUGCUGGAGGUAUCAGAAGUGCGAAUGCUGACAUAAGUAACGAUAAAGCGGGUGAAAAGCCCGCUCGCCGGAAGACCAAGGGUUCCUGUCCAACGUUAAUCGGGGCAGGGUGAGUCGACCCCUAAGGCGAGGCCGAAAGGCGUAGUCGAUGGGAAACAGGUUAAUAUUCCUGUACUUGGUGUUACUGCGAAGGGGGGACGGAGAAGGCUAUGUUGGCCGGGCGACGGUUGUCCCGGUUUAAGCGUGUAGGCUGGUUUUCCAGGCAAAUCCGGAAAAUCAAGGCUGAGGCGUGAUGACGAGGCACUACGGUGCUGAAGCAACAAAUGCCCUGCUUCCAGGAAAAGCCUCUAAGCAUCAGGUAACAUCAAAUCGUACCCCAAACCGACACAGGUGGUCAGGUAGAGAAUACCAAGGCGCUUGAGAGAACUCGGGUGAAGGAACUAGGCAAAAUGGUGCCGUAACUUCGGGAGAAGGCACGCUGAUAUGUAGGUGAAGUCCCUUGCGGAUGGAGCUGAAAUCAGUCGAAGAUACCAGCUGGCUGCAACUGUUUAUUAAAAACACAGCACUGUGCAAACACGAAAGUGGACGUAUACGGUGUGACGCCUGCCCGGUGCCGGAAGGUUAAUUGAUGGGGUUAGCGGUAACGCGAAGCUCUUGAUCGAAGCCCCGGUAAACGGCGGCCGUAACUAUAACGGUCCUAAGGUAGCGAAAUUCCUUGUCGGGUAAGUUCCGACCUGCACGAAUGGCGUAAUGAUGGCCAGGCUGUCUCCACCCGAGACUCAGUGAAAUUGAACUCGCUGUGAAGAUGCAGUGUACCCGCGGCAAGACGGAAAGACCCCGUGAACCUUUACUAUAGCUUGACACUGAACAUUGAGCCUUGAUGUGUAGGAUAGGUGGGAGGCUUUGAAGUGUGGACGCCAGUCUGCAUGGAGCCGACCUUGAAAUACCACCCUUUAAUGUUUGAUGUUCUAACGUUGGCCCCUGAUCGGGGUUGCGGACAGUGUCUGGUGGGUAGUUUGACUGGGGCGGUCUCCUCCUAAAGAGUAACGGAGGAGCACGAAGGUUGGCUAAUCCUGGUCGGACAUCAGGAGGUUAGUGCAAUGGCAUAAGCCAGCUUGACUGCGAGCGUGACGGCGCGAGCAGGUGCGAAAGCAGGUCAUAGUGAUCCGGUGGUUCUGAAUGGAAGGGCCAUCGCUCAACGGAUAAAAGGUACUCCGGGGAUAACAGGCUGAUACCGCCCAAGAGUUCAUAUCGACGGCGGUGUUUGGCACCUCGAUGUCGGCUCAUCACAUCCUGGGGCUGAAGUAGGUCCCAAGGGUAUGGCUGUUCGCCAUUUAAAGUGGUACGCGAGCUGGGUUUAGAACGUCGUGAGACAGUUCGGUCCCUAUCUGCCGUGGGCGCUGGAGAACUGAGGGGGGCUGCUCCUAGUACGAGAGGACCGGAGUGGACGCAUCACUGGUGUUCGGGUUGUCAUGCCAAUGGCACUGCCCGGUAGCUAAAUGCGGAAGAGAUAAGUGCUGAAAGCAUCUAAGCACGAAACUUGCCCCGAGAUGAGUUCUCCCUGACUCCUUGAGAGUCCUGAAGGAACGUUGAAGACGACGACGUUGAUAGGCCGGGUGUGUAAGCGCAGCGAUGCGUUGAGCUAACCGGUACUAAUGAACCGUGAGGCUUAACCU
RNAcentral lists this ribosomal RNA (2901 nucleotides) under Escherichia coli. RNAcentral describes it as "23S ribosomal RNA". It matches the Rfam family "Bacterial large subunit ribosomal RNA". Lineage: Bacteria; Pseudomonadati; Pseudomonadota; Gammaproteobacteria; Enterobacterales; Enterobacteriaceae. The record is from RNAcentral.